UACGUAGGUGGCGAGCGUUGUCCGGAUUUACUGGGCGUAAAGAGCGCGCAGGCGGUCGUUCAAGUCGCGUGUGAAAGCCCCCGGCUCAACUGGGGAGGGUCACGCGAUACUGAUCGACUCGAAGGCAGGAGAGGGAAGUGGAAUUCCCGGUGUAGUGGUGAAAUGCGUAGAUAUCGGGAGGAACACCAGUGGCGAAGGCGACUUCCUGGCCUGUUCUUGACGCUGAGGAACGAAAGCGUGGGGAGCGAACAGG
Molecule: ribosomal RNA, 253 nt
Filed under: uncultured bacterium
Lineage: Bacteria
Description: partial 16S ribosomal RNA
Rfam family: Bacterial small subunit ribosomal RNA
Source: RNAcentral